RNAcentral lists this ribosomal RNA (411 nucleotides) under uncultured bacterium. Its description in RNAcentral is "bacterial SSU rRNA". It matches the Rfam family "Bacterial small subunit ribosomal RNA", at positions 355 to 765 of the family's 1533-position model. The record is from RNAcentral.
UAAGGAAUAUUGCUCAAUGGGAGAAAUCCUGAAGCAGCAACGCCGCGUGGAGGAUGAAGGGUCUAUGACUUGUAAACUCCUGUAAAGAAGGAAAAAAUUCUCAUUAGAUGGGAGAUGAUGGUACUUCUGGAGUAAGCCCCGGCUAACUACGUGCCAGCAGCCGCGGUCAUACGUAGGGGGCAAGCGUUGUCCGGAUUUACUGGGUGUAAAGGGUGCUCAGGCGGAUUUGUAAGUCAGAGGUGAAAUCUUACAGGUUAACUGUGAAACUGCCUUUAAUACUGCAAGCCUAGAGUGUGGAAGANAGUGAUGGAAUAUCUGGUGAAGCAGUGAAAUGCGUCGAUAUCACAUAGAACACCAAUGGCGAAGGCAGUCACUUGGUCCAUUACUGUCGCUAAAGCACGAAAGCGUGGG